Molecule: non-coding RNA, 83 nt
Organism: Colletotrichum higginsianum
Lineage: Eukaryota; Fungi; Ascomycota; Sordariomycetes; Glomerellales; Glomerellaceae
Source: Rfam
UCCUUGAUAGUCUAGUGGUUAGGAUAUCUGCUUGUCAUUUAAACGAUUCGCAGGGGACCGGGGUUCAAUUCCCCGUCGAGGAG